AUUGAACGCUGGCGGCAGGCUUAACACAUGCAAGUCGAACGGUAACAGGGGAAAGCUUGCUUUCUUGCUGACGAGUGGCGGACGGGUGAGUAAUGCUUGGGAAUCUGGCUUAUGGAGGGGGAUAACGACGGGAAACUGUCGCUAAUACCGCGUAGAGUCGAGAGACGAAAGUGUGGGACCGCAAGGCCACAUGCCAUGAGAUGAGCCCAAGUGGGACUAGGUAGUUGGUGGGGUAAAGGCCUACCAAGCCGACGAUCUCUAGCUGGUCUGAGAGGAUGACCAGCCACACCGGGACUGAGACACGGCCCGGACUCCUACGGGAGGCAGC
This 328-nucleotide ribosomal RNA is filed under the name Aggregatibacter sp. oral taxon 458. Its description in RNAcentral is "bacterial SSU rRNA". It matches the Rfam family "Bacterial small subunit ribosomal RNA", at positions 30 to 352 of the family's 1533-position model. The record is from RNAcentral. Lineage: Bacteria; Pseudomonadati; Pseudomonadota; Gammaproteobacteria; Pasteurellales; Pasteurellaceae.